AUUCUUAUCUGGCAGAGGCGACACUAUGAUGAAAUAUGUGGUUUUCCUAGAGUGAGGGUCAUCCAUGGUACUCAGGGUGUGCUGACCCCUGUGAUUUCCUCAAGUGGGGCAAACUUGACUGUACAGUUUGUGUAGUGAGGAACUGUGUUUGCGCUUUACUUGA
Molecule: small nuclear RNA, 163 nt
Organism: Acomys russatus (golden spiny mouse)
Lineage: Eukaryota; Metazoa; Chordata; Mammalia; Rodentia; Muridae
Product: U1 spliceosomal RNA
Exons: 1
Source: RefSeq, a predicted model, not a curated record